Molecule: long non-coding RNA, 2082 nt
Filed under: Malus domestica (apple)
Lineage: Eukaryota; Viridiplantae; Streptophyta; Magnoliopsida; Rosales; Rosaceae
Description: long non-coding RNA (MDOM_LNC012854)
Source: RNAcentral
UGAAUUCAUUCUUCCAGAUUUGUUGCACAUUCCUAGCCUCUUUGAACUUAAAAAAUGUCCAUCCACCUUGCUUCAUUCAUAUGCUAUCCCUUGUUGGCCCAAAACUGCUUCAAAAUGCUCCAAAUUGCACUUUCUUGCCAUCUUUAUCAUUCGGACCUUCAAACCCACAAAAAUAGCUUAAAUCACUAUAAUAAAUAGAAACUAGCUAUGAAAAUGCAAGAAAACAAUCUAACUAAGUCGCAUAAAUAUGCGCUUAUCAAAUUCCCCCACACUUAGCUUUUGCUAGUCCUCGAGCAAAACGAAACAAACAAAACAUAACCUAGACCUUCCAACGUUUGUGUCAAGGAUUUCCAAUAAGACAUGACACAUUAAAAAUCACUACUCACAUAGAUUUUAGCUAUCCUUACCCUCGAGCACACACUUAAUCGCAGUCACCACUCACUAGCUCGCAUUUAAUCAAUUAAAACAACAUUUUGAAUGUAGUAACAUGCCUUAGAGAAUUCCCUCAAUUCCUCACCAGAUAUACUCGCUAUUUUGACAUACAUUUUCUGACUACACUCCCUAUACUAGGUAUAUGUGAGAAGAUUGAUGUAAACAUGUAGACUAGCACUCACAUACGUUAUAAUCAAAGAAUGCACUUUCUGGAAUUAUUAAUAUAACAUGUAUAUAUGAUCUCAUGAACGGAAUGCCACUACUUAGAAGCGAGAACUAGGGAUCCCAUUACAACCAAGAUACAAGUCAAAGGGUUGUAAUGGGACUAAGGGUAUUGGCUAACAAAAAACGGUUAAGGAUAAACAAAGAUUCUUAAAGCAAUAGUAAGCAAAGUAAUGAAAUCAACACUUAGAAUUCAACUUCUGAAUGCAGCAACUAACUUUAAACACAAGGGGAAGAUUCACACAACACUUAGGGCCAGAUUCAAACUUUUGGACCCUUCUUCAACAACCAAUACUUGUGAGUUCAUUCUCACUGAUUUUGAACUUUUUCUCUUUUUCUUCUUUUCUUUUCCACGUUUUUUUUUCUUUUUUAUUCUUUUUCGUUGGAAAUAACCUUCCCCCACACUUAUUUUCUGCAAAAUGUUGAUCAAAAGGAAUUCCCUCUAAGUCAUGCUCUACUAUACUUUAAGAACAAGGGUAUGGAUAUUCCUAUGCUAGGCUAGGUAAGGAUAAUGUGGCUAACAAAGAAAAUAUGCUAAUUAAGUCUCAAAGGGGUUAAACCUACAAUACAUAUGCAAGGGAUUAAGGCUUUUUGGCUCUGGUGGUAACUAAGCAACUUCACCUUGUUAUAUGUUAUGCACUCAAUUUAAAGCUUUGAAUGAAGCGGGCAUGAGUUCUAGUAUUUGGAACUAUAAUGAUGAAAAAGCAUUCUAAGUAGCAACCAAGCAAAGAAAUAAUGAGAUCAUGCAACGACUUUAGAAAACAACAAAUCACAGAUUAAUAACUCUCCAAACAAAGUUUAGGCUCAAGUCUCUCAUGGUUGUAGCAUUAGUUUGAGUUCCUUCCUUCAAGCAUGUUACAAAAACUGAUUUUUUUUCUCUUUUGUGAUUACAUGUGAAUUCGUUAAUGACAACUACAACCAAGUAUUAACCAAAGAGCAUAUCAAACUUCCACCCAUGUUUAUAAUUUUCUUUAACAAUCAUGCAAUUAAAAACCAAAUCCUCAUCAUUGUGUUGGAAGGUAUCCUAAGACACAAACACACAAAAACGACUCUAAAACGACUCUUUUUAGUUUUUUCAAAACUUUUUCUAAUUUUUUUUUUCUUUCAAAUUUUCGUAUUUUUCUUUCAAAACACACUAAAACACUUCAAAACACACUAAAAACACUUAAAAACAGUGAAACCUAACUUUAGAGGUGCUAGGUGGUAAAAUCCCAUGAAAAUCAAUGAAAAACACUUUGUUUAUCCCCCCACACUUAAACCAAACAUUGUCCUCAAUGUUUCAAAUAUAGACUAACAUGCAAGCAAGUAAACAACAUAACUAACAAACAUGACAAUUAUGGCAAAGUAAAAGCAAUAAAGAGUAGUAGAAUUUAAGAACGAAAAUCUGGUUAUGGAGCCGGAGAUUCCUAGGUCUUCUUUAUUUGAAUG